RNAcentral lists this ribosomal RNA (410 nucleotides) under uncultured Methylomirabilota bacterium. Its description in RNAcentral is "bacterial SSU rRNA". It matches the Rfam family "Bacterial small subunit ribosomal RNA", at positions 1025 to 1434 of the family's 1533-position model. The record is from RNAcentral. Lineage: Bacteria; Methylomirabilota (SeqCode).
AGCGUGGAGACAGGUGGUGCAUGGCUGUCGUCAGCUCGUGUCGUGAGAUGUUGGGUUAAGUCCCGCAACGAGCGCAACCCUCACCUCUUGUUGCCAUCAGGUCAUGCUGGGCACUCUAGAGGAACUGCCCCGGUCAACGGGGAGGAAGGCGGGGAUGACGUCAAGUCAUCAUGCCCCUUACGUCCUGGGCUACACACGUGCUACAAUGGCCGGUACAAAGGGAUGCCACACCGCGAGGUGGAGCUAAACCCAAAAAGCCGGUCUAAGCUCAGAUUGGAGUCUGCAACUCGACUCCAUGAAGGAGGAAUCGCUAGUAAUCGCGUAUCAGCACGACGCGGUGAAUACGUUCCCGGGCCUUGUACACACCGCCCGUCACACCACGAAAGCCUGCUGUACUCGAAGUCGCUGAG